AGAGCAGGCCAAUCACUGAACCAAAGUAGGAAGAAAAUGGUUUGAAGUUGAAGAGGGAAGGUUUAGGGUGGAUGUCAGGGGAAGUUCUUUCCUAUGAGAGCGGUGAGGUGCUGGAACAGCUGCCCAGAGAGGCUGUGGAUGCCCCGUCCAUCCCUGGAGGUGUUCAAGGCCAGGUUGGAUGGGGCCCUGGGCAGCCUGGGCUGCUAUGAAAUGUGGAGGUUGGUGGCCGUGCUUGUGGCAGGGGGUUGGAGCUUCAUGAUCCUUGAGGUCCCUUCCAA
This is a long non-coding RNA of Tympanuchus pallidicinctus (lesser prairie-chicken), 278 nucleotides long. RefSeq lists it as uncharacterized. The transcript is spliced from 3 exons. The record is from RefSeq and is a predicted model, not a curated record. NCBI's taxonomy places the organism in Eukaryota, Metazoa, Chordata, Aves, Galliformes, Phasianidae.